Long non-coding RNA from Apis florea (little honeybee), 1439 nucleotides. The record is from RefSeq and is a predicted model, not a curated record. NCBI's taxonomy places the organism in Eukaryota, Metazoa, Arthropoda, Insecta, Hymenoptera, Apidae.
UAUUAUAUAUAUAUAUAUAUAAAUUUAUUUAAAGCAAUUUUAUAUAUUCAAAAUUGUGUUAUCUCAUGUCUAAAAUCUCGAAUAAUUUCGCGUAAUUGCUUAUUUCGAAAACACCGCGGGGUAUAAAAUAUACAAUAUCCCGUGUACCCAAACAAAGGUGAUCUCAAAACCUUAACGCCUUUCAGGUUUCCUCUAUUUCUAACGAGCAUCCUGUCUUUCAAAAUCUUGUGCGCUCUCAAUUUGGUAUAUACCUUCGUUUUCAUCCAUCUAUUAAAUUAAAAUUGGAUUAACUUCAAAUAUUCAUGAUACAGGGGGGAAAAAAUUAUAUUUUUAUAUGUCGUAACUUGAAACGUGUUCGUGUUACUUUUAACUAUAUCACGAUCGAUCCUAACCUCACUUUCGCCUCGUUCAGAAAAACAUCGCUGCUUUACAUUUCGUUUCGUUUAUAUAAAGGCUGUAUCGUGUUUUAUGGAAAAAAGAAAAGUCGAGAUUCUUUGAGAGCAAGGAGCACAACGUGGAAUGGACCGUUUGAUAUACAAACGAGAGGUGGGGCUGCUGGAAAGAAGAUACGAUCGAUCAUUCCGAAACGAUAGCCCUGAGACUUUAGUUACACGCAACGCUUUGACACGUUGCAAAUGAGACGUCGGUGCAAAUGGUCAAUGCCUACUUUUUUCUUCUCUCUUUCUCUCUCCCUCUCCUUUUCUUUCUUUCUUUCCUUCCUUCCUUCCUUCCUUCUACUCCUUCCCCUUUUUUUUUUAAUCCUUACCGACGGUGUUCCACUUAUCGAUUACCGAUCGAGUCUGUCCAUCGUGUCAACCUACCCGUACAGAAGUACAGAAUCCUGCAUUUCCUGUCUGACAGUGAAGGUCGGUAGCAAAUUCAGUAGCGUGGCACUAAAAGAGCUCGACGAUAAAUCACUUGGGCAAAUUCCUUAAAGCACUAAGUGCCGCGAGGCGUUUGAAAGGAUCGUGGGUCAGAAACGCCGGGAGUUAAACAGAGAUUGUACGGUUUCGAGGGGAAAUAUAAGCUGGAUCAAGCAAAUUCUUUCCUGGAGAAGGCGAUUCUCCGAGAUUCGAAGGUUAAACCUAAGAUUCUCUCGUGAAUGAAUAUCUUUUUAUCAUAAUGAGAUUUUUGUUUUUUUUUUUUUUUAUUAGAAAAAAAGAGAGAGAAGAGAGAAUAUAUAGAAGAAGAAACAUCAUCAAUAUUUCUUCGAUCAAUUUAAGUUAGUUUAAAUAAAUUUACUUUUAUUUAUGAGAUUUUAAAACGUGAAAAUUUGCUUUCUAAUCCACAUUUUUUUAUUCUCGUGUACACACGCGCAUACGUAUGCAAAGUUGCUUACAUCACUGUCAAUUUAACUUUGUAAACAUUGCGCAUGAUGAAUACACAUUUUUCGCAUUAAAACUUUCUAUAACGAUCCAACCUUUCACCAGUUUAUAAAC